Molecule: long non-coding RNA, 507 nt
Filed under: Cyanistes caeruleus (blue tit)
Lineage: Eukaryota; Metazoa; Chordata; Aves; Passeriformes; Paridae
Description: lncRNA (ENSCCEG00000007932.1)
Source: RNAcentral
CAACGCUCCAAGUGGGAGCUGCAGGGUGAGGAGAUGCAGAGGAGUCACACAGGAGCCAAAUGCUUCAGGAAAGUCAGCAUUUACAGCCUGGAUAGGCAAAGGGCAGGCUGACUCAGCAUUAGAGGGGUUGUCCUCUUAAUACCCACAGUGGUGUCAAAAUGUUCUCCAACAGCAGGUCUCAGCAGUCAAGGUCCCUGCAGGGUCAGUCCUGCCCUCAGCAUCGUUAAAGUGGACAAGGAUAAACUUUUCCCACCCAGAACACAGGGAAGUUUGUGCUGUCUCAGUUGAAGGUAGCAUCUCCAACUCCUUUCAAGGGUUUUGGCUGGUAGCAGUAGUCUGCAAGUGAUGAAGCUCCAGUUUUUCAGGAUUGUGAAGGGAUUUCUGCUAACAGGCUGCCUGGUUGAGGUUGUUAGAGCAGGUGAGAGGAGCUGAAGCUUCCAUGGCCCUUCCUGGAUAAUGAGAAGUGACAGCCCCCCAGCACCUGAGCUGCUGCUCUGCAAAGGGAGG